RNAcentral lists this ribosomal RNA (253 nucleotides) under uncultured bacterium. RNAcentral's name for it is "partial 16S ribosomal RNA". It matches the Rfam family "Bacterial small subunit ribosomal RNA", at positions 524 to 776 of the family's 1533-position model. The record is from RNAcentral.
UACGGAGGGUGCGAGCGUUAAUCGGAAUUACUGGGCGUAAAGCGUACGCAGGCGGUUUGUUAAGCUAGAUGUGAAAGCCCCGGGCUCAACCUGGGAUGGUCAUUUAGAACUGGCAGACUAGAGUCUUGGAGAGGGGAGUGGAAUUCCAGGUGUAGCGGUGAAAUGCGUAGAUAUCUGGAGGAACAUCAGUGGCGAAGGCGACUCCCUGGCCAAAGACUGACGCUCAUGUGCGAAAGUGUGGGUAGCGAACAGG